CAGCAGCCGCCGCGGGAAUACCGAGGGUGCGAGCGUUAAUCGGAUUUACUGGGCGUAAAGCGUGCGUAGGCGGCUUUUUAAGUCGGAUGUGAAAUCCCUGAGCUUAACUUAGGAAUUGCAUUCGAUACUGGGAAGCUAGAGUAUGGGAGAGGAUGGUAGAAUUCCAGGUGUAGCGGUGAAAUGCGUAGAGAUCUGGAGGAAUACCGAUGGCGAAGGCAGCCAUCUGGCCUAAUACUGACGCUGAGGUACGAAAGCAUGGGGAGCAAACAGGAUUAGAUACCCGCGUAGUCCCUGUCUCUUAUAC
RNAcentral lists this ribosomal RNA (304 nucleotides) under uncultured bacterium. RNAcentral describes it as "partial 16S ribosomal RNA". It matches the Rfam family "Bacterial small subunit ribosomal RNA", at positions 506 to 807 of the family's 1533-position model. The record is from RNAcentral.